AUACGGAGGAUCCGAGCGUUAUCCGGAUUUAUUGGGUUUAAAGGGUGCGCAGGCGGGAGAUUAAGUCGGCGGUGAAAUUUUGCAGCGCAAAUGGAAAAGGGCCUUCGAAACUGGGUUUCUUGAGUGUAGAUGAAGUAGGCGGAAUUUGUGGUGUAGCGGUGAAAUGCAUAGAUAUCACGAGGAACUCCGAUUGCGCAGGCAGCUUACUAAACUACUACUGACGCUCAGGCACGAAGGCGUGGGGAUCAAACAGGAUUAGAUACCCUGGUAGUCCACGCAGUAAACGAUGAUUACUAGCUGUUUGCGAUACAAUGUAAGCGGCUGAGCGAAAGCGUUAAGUAAUCCACCUGGGGAGUACGUUCGCAAGAAUGAAACUCAAAUGAAUUGACGGGG
RNAcentral lists this ribosomal RNA (393 nucleotides) under uncultured bacterium. RNAcentral's name for it is "partial 16S ribosomal RNA". It matches the Rfam family "Bacterial small subunit ribosomal RNA", at positions 523 to 918 of the family's 1533-position model. The record is from RNAcentral.